RNAcentral lists this ribosomal RNA (484 nucleotides) under uncultured bacterium. RNAcentral describes it as "partial 16S ribosomal RNA". It matches the Rfam family "Bacterial small subunit ribosomal RNA", at positions 30 to 507 of the family's 1533-position model. The record is from RNAcentral.
AUUGAACGCUGGCGGCAGGCCUAACACAUGCAAGUCGAGCGGAUGAAGGGAGCUUGCUCCUGGAUUCAGCGGCGGACGGGUGAGUAAUGCCUAGGAAUCUGCCUGGUAGUGGGGGAUUACGUCCGGAUACGGGCGCUAAUACCGCAUACGUACUGUGGGAGCAAGUGGGGGAUCUUCGGACCUCACGCUAUCAGAUGAGCCUAGGUCGGAUUAGCUAGUUGGUGGGGUAAAGGCCUACAAAGGCGACGAUCCUUAACUGGUCUGAGAGGAUGACCAGUCACACUGGAACUGAGACACGGUCCAGACACCUACGGGAGGCAGCAGUGGGGAAUAUUGGACGAUGGACGAAAGCCUGGUCCAGCCAUGCCGCGUGUAGGAAGAAGGUCUUCGGAUUGGAGAGCACUUUAAGUUGGGAGGAAGGGCAGUAAGUUAAUACCUUGCUGUUUUGACGUUACCAACAGAAUAAGCACCGGCUAACUUCGUG